AAGUCGUAACAAGGUAUCCGUAGGUGAACCUGCGGAUGGAUCAUUACUAAAGCGUCCAUCCUACGUUAUGUGAACUGUUUUGAUUGGUAGUGGUCAGUGCUCCCACUCUGCGACACUGGCCAUACACUGAAUGUACACUAAACUGACUGAGAGACUACUACUGCUGUAGUAACCAAAGAGAACUUUUAGCAACGGAUCUCUUGGCUCUC
Molecule: unclassified non-coding RNA, 209 nt
Filed under: fungal sp.
Lineage: Eukaryota; Fungi
Description: partial internal transcribed spacer region
Rfam family: Eukaryotic small subunit ribosomal RNA (bases 1-46)
Source: RNAcentral